GUGCUAAGCUUAGUGCUCUCUCUCCCACCACCAGUGGCAGAGCCACUGUGUGGGGAGAAACACCUUUUUAUCUUGGAGAGGGGCAGCCUUGUUUCUGAGGACAGAUGGGAGCAAAACGGGACAGGUAGGAAGUUUCGUGGUUUCUCGUGUCGCUUCUCCAAAAUAGCCACACUGCUGCCUCCCACUUCCUGCCUGACUCGGCUGGGGUAGAUUUUCUCCUUUAGAGGAUUUGUGUUCUGUGUAUUCCCAGGGAGGCUCGAAGGGAUCUGUUGCCAAAAACAUGCUUGACACUGAAGCCCUGGAGCUUGGCACUGAGGGCCCCAGCUCAGGUUUGGACCACUGGGUUUGCAUCCGGGCUCUGUCUCAUACUGGCUGCGUGACCUUGGGCAAAUGACUUCACUUCUCUGUGCCUCAUCAGUAGGAUGGAGAUAACAACUCUAGCUAUAUCCAGCAGUUACUCUGCAGAUUAAAUGAAUAUGUGUAAAGGGCACAGCCCAGUGUGGGCACAUAGCAACUCUUAAUGAAUCUCUUAAUAAAAAACAGCAAUGUUGUUGUUGAUCUCCAUCCCCUACCUGGAAAACUGUACCAGCCUCCCAGCCACCUUCCCUUUCCCCUGGCUUGCCUGCUCCAGCACAUCCCAGCAUGAUCCGAGAGUGAUAGAAACGUGAAACACAAAUCUGACCCUGCUAUCUGCUGCUUAAAAUCCACCCAUAGCUUCCAGCGUCUAUGGCAGGAAUGAGCAUUCUUUUGCUCUGAAUGGCCAGAUAGUAUUUGAAGCUUUGCCGGGCAUAUAGUCUCUCUUGACUUUGUCAUUGCAGCCUGGAAGCAACCACAGAUAAUAUGUAAAAAAUGGGCGUGGUUGUGUUCCAGUAAAAUUUUAUGUACGAAAACAGGCAGCCGGCUGGAUUUGCCAACCCUUGACCUACAGGAUGAAUCCAGACCCUUAGCUCAGCAUUCCCAGUUCAGCCUGUUCCCGUUAUCUCCAUCCUUCUUCCUCCCCCACCCCUGCUCUUGUGCAGAACAUGUCACACUUUAAUCCUUUGCGUGUGCUGCUCCCUCUUUCUGAGUUUUCCUUCCCUGCCCCCUGAGUGCCCCUUCCCCAUGGCAUUAGGACCUUUACUCUGGGAUUCUGUGGUACCCUGUCUUUAUUUCUACCCUGGUCAUAUAUGCAAGUUCCAUCUGUCUCUCCAUGAGAGGGGCUCCCCUCUAGGCAGGGAUUCGGCCUUCCUCUUCUGUACACCCAGCAGGGUGCUGCUGUAUAGGUUUCUGCAGGUGCUCAGUAAGCAUUUGUUAUUGAACCCAAGGAUCUGCAAGAUGGAUGGUUGGCCUCAGGGAGCUCACAGUCAGCUUAGAAAGCUAGGAUAUGAGCCAGUCAAAAGCCAGCCAGCAAUCCAGGCAGGAAAUGAUGAUGGUCUGUGUGUUUGGCCCUAACUGAUGUCAAGUGGAGAUUCUGAGCUUGAUAGAGGAAGGUGAAGGCAUUUGAGUUGGAUGUUGCAGGGUGGGAAAGAGACUUGCAGAGAUAGGGAGGUCAGGAAGUCUUUCCAAGUUGGGGAAGUCAUAAGAGAAGAGCAGGGCUGACCAGGCCUGGGGGCUUAGGCCUGUAAUCCCAGCUACUUGGGAGGCUGAGGCAGGAGGAUCACCUGAGCCGGAGAGUUUGAGACUAGAAUGGGCAAGGUAGUGAGACCUCAUCUCAAAAACUAGAAAAAUAAAAAAUUUAGCCAGAUGUGGUGGUCAUACUCCUGUAGUCCUAAAUAUUGAGACUGAAGCGGGUGGAUGGCUUGAGCCCAGGAGACGGAGGCUGCAGUGAGCUGUGAUUAUACCACUGCACUGCAGCCUGAGGGACACAGCAAGACCCUGUCUCGAAAAACAAAACAAAACAAAAGAAGAAGAAGAGCAGGCUCAUUGCUGAGCUCAGGGUGGGGAGUGGACAGAGCAGUCUGGCCACGGCUGCAGGCCCUCCCUUGGGAGACAGAGGGGGCCAAUGCUGGAAAGCAGGGCGAAGUUUUCAUCAAUGAGUUGGGGGUGGUGAGGAAGCUUAGACUUUAUCCUGUGAGCCAGAAUUUCUCCAUGUGUGUCCACAUACCCUCCCAUAACAGAAUUACCUUGAGUUUCUUUAAAAUGCAGAUUCCAGGGCUCUGUCCCAUACUGGGGGCCAGGAGGCUGAAGGGGGUCAAGGCCGUGGUCUGUGGGAGGAAGAGGCUGCACCAUGGCUAUGGGUGCACCACAAGUAUUAUUCAGACUGGUGUCACCUGUAGGAAGCCGGGUGAUGCCUUUCCCAGCUGGACUGGGGACAGGUGAGGCGGGAAUGAAUAAUCCUCCCAAAGGGCAAUUGGGAACACCCAAGCUCAAACGUGGCAAGUGACUUGCCCAGGGUCACACUGUCAAUUACUUGCAGGUGUGGGGCUGACCAGUUAUGGAACAGGCUUCCUCUCCCAAUCUCAGGGCCUCGGGUGGUCCUCGAGGUGCCGCAGGUGGAAGAAGAACAGGCCAAGGCAAAUGCCUCCGGUACCCAGCACUGCCUGGUGCACAGUAGUGGUUGAUCAGUAAUUGUUGAACCAAUCAGGGUUUCUGUUUGCUUGAAGGAAAGGGUAGGAGUGGAGGGUGAGUGACUGGGUGAAUGGGUGCUAUGAGGACAAAGGAGAGUGGAGUUUAGAGGUAGCACUAGUGUCGCAAGCCUGAAGGUUUACCAGAGACAGAGGGGUGAAAAGAUGAGUGGGGCACUAAGCAUAUUGAAUGUGAGAGCUGCUGGAAAUGCAGGAUUGGGGCGUGCUGGGUGGGGCAGGUGAUGUGUGCAGCUGUGGAAGCUGCUACCAAGUCAAGGGCUCUUUUGUAAAAGAAGACACUGAACUAAAAGAUGCUUAGAAGCCUGUCCAGUUCCAAAGCCAUUGGCAUCUUCUCUAAUUAAAGAGUGAACUCCAGUUUCUUAUGAUGUGGGAGUAGAAUUUGGCUGGUCUUUAAUAUCUCACAAAGGGUCUCUUUCUCAGGAAGGCAUGUGUGUGAUUUGGGAGAGGUGAAGAUGAGAAGUCUGAAUCCUACCUACUUGGUUCUCUCCCGUGCAUCAUGGAUGUCAGGAAACACUGUUGAUAUCUCCUGUGCACUGUCAAUGUCCCUCUCUGUGUGUCUUUGAAUGGGGAGCAAGGGGCAUAAGCCAGAUCACCCCAGGCGGUGCCGCACUUUAAGAGGUAUCUGGACCAGCCCUCAGGAGCAUGCAGCCCUUGUCAGAGGAACUUUUGAAGAAACUGGGUAACAGAAUACUUGAGAGACAGACUUGCUGUCCUCAACCACCCCAGGGGUUGUCUGGAGAAAAAGGGUCAGAGAUGUUCUGUGUGGUCCUCGGGACAGAAUCAAAACCAAAAUCUCAAAGUACAUCCUACCCUGCCUUUAACUGAACGGGAUAGUCUGCUGUUUGCAAAAAUAUACAUGCCAAGACACGUCCUUUGUGCAGGUGGGGAACAAAGAUGUUGGCUGGGGGCUUAAUUCUACAGCACUGCCCAUUGCCCUGCUGUGGCAUUCAUCAGUGGAGCCCACAUGGUUCCACUUGGGGUGCUCUAAGUUUCCUCCUAGACCCAUGGGUUUGUAUGAGCCAUGCCAACCAUGACACCAUGACCUGUCUGAAAUGGACUCCACCUUGGUCAGAAUGGAACCAUCUAAGCCCUUGGGACUUGCACCCUCUGUUGAGCUUUGAGAUCAUCUCAGAAAUGGUACUCUCCCUGCAGACUCAGAGCCUUUAGACUCAGGGCUGGUGGCCCUUGACACGCCUCUCUCACCACCAGAUAAUUAUAUUUUCAGGCAGCUGUUCCUUGGGGAGGAAUAUUGAGUGCCGUCCCAUGUGCUAUCUGUUUCUGACCAUUCUGAUUCUGCUGCUGACCUCAGACUGCCCAUGUUGUGGCUACCUCUCCCAUCUGAGUCCCUGCACUGCCCAGUCACAGACAUCUGCUGCCGGACGCCACACUGCCCUGAUGGCUCAGAGCGGCCAGCUCCAACCUGCGUGAUCUCACAGGCAUUGUGGCCUGGGCGUCAGGGUGCUGUGAGAAACACCAGGAAACACUGAUAUUUUUAGUGCAAAUGAUGAAAAACGUUAUGCUAAGUGAAAGAAGCCAGACACAAAAGGACAUAUGGCGGGUGAUUCCAUUUUUAUGAAAUGUCCAGAUAAGGCAAAUUUAUAGAGAUGGAAACUAGAUGAAUUAGUGGCUGCCAGGGGCUGGAGGGAAGGGAAUGUGGAGUGAUUGCUAAUGGGUACAGGAUUUCUUUUCAGAGUGAUACAUGUGUUCUGGAAUUACAUCAUUGGGAUGGUUGCACAACCCUGUGAAUUUUAUGGUCCCUUGGAGCUUCCUUGGGCGCUUCCUGGAAGGAGGUGCUGCAUUCACCCUGCCAGGGCCAGGUUGGGACAAUGAGAGGCAGAGACUGCCCCAUUUCUGUGUGGCAAACAAGAAACAUGGUUUAUCGGUUCUUCUGAGGCUUCAGUUGUACCUCAGACCCUAAAGGGCCCAGCUCUGCCCAUCUCUUCCAUGCAAAGAUGAAGGGAGGGGACAGGGGCUGGCACUGUGGUACCCUGAAGGAGGCACUUAGGACGGUGAUGAUUCUAGGCCCUGAUGAAUUCAUUUUUUAAGCCAGCAAACCCUCCUGGUCCCCUGAGUUCAGGAUACCGUAUUUGUCCAAGCAAAGGAUAGCUCAGGAAUACAGAAAUGAGUCUGAUCCUAGGCAGGACUCAGGGAACACCAUGAAUCCUUGAGAACCAUGGGACGGAGAAUCAGAGUCCUGAGCUGUGGAUCCAGCCCAGCCACUUUCCACCUCUCUGAACCUCUGUUUCCUCAUCUGCAAAACGAAGUGAUAAGCCCCUUCCCAGAGGGCUGUUUUGAGGAAAUUCUUAGUUAUGAAGUAUGUUAGACAUUGUGUUUGCAGUCUUAGGGGGCAGUUGGAGCCAUGAACAGGAGGUCUGCAAGGAGGAACUUGGGUGAAAUUAAAUGAGACAGUGGCUACAGGGGCCUUUGGUGAGCUGUAGUCACUGCACUAACGUAAGGCGGCAUUGUUGGGAUUAUGAUCCAUCUGAAACAGGGGUGUAAACACCGGCCAGGGGAAGGCAGAAUGGGUUCUGUCUGAGAUGGAAAGAGGUCCCAGGGAGAAACUGGCAGUGGUGACAAGAAGGAUUUGGCUGAACAAAGAAGGGAAGAUGGGGGACCGGGCAGCAGGCCAAGGGAGGGGCUUGAACCCUGGCAGGAGGCAGAAAGGGUGAGAGGAGCUGGGGCACAGUGUGGGAUUUUCAGAGUUCACCUGGUUGAAUGGAAGAAAGCCUGUAUGAACUGCAAGAGCUUAUUUUUUGGAAAUGCAGCCCCACGAAAUCAUACUUGACAACAUCGUCUUGUUCAGGGAGCACAGAGUGGGAGCUUGGGGGGUCUCAGGGCAAGUUUAAGAAGGCUGAGGAUGAUGACUGCUCCCCUCAGGCACACAAACAGUACAUUCCCUGAGUGCUUUUGAGAGCUCAGAUGUUGUCAAAAAAGGAAGAUCUGGAGGUCAGAUCAGGACCUAGAGUGCGAAUGCCUCACAAGAAAUUGCGCUCGGAAUUCAUGAUGGAAAUUUUAGCAGGGCACACAGCCACUCAGCUAAACACUACACUGCCUCACCCUCCUAGCAGCUAGGAGUGGCCAUGGGCUCGUGUGAGCUGAAAUGACAAGUGCAACUCCCAGCUCUGCCCUCCCCUUUAUCGUUCCCACUGAGUAGGGUGUGGAUGUGAUGGUGGGAGAUGGAAGUCAUGUGCUGUGGAUAUCAGAAGACCAAGAUCAAAGAUGUCCACACGGUGAAGCCACCAUAUCAGCCAUGGCCACUUAAACUCAGAUUGCACAUAAGACAGAAAUAAACUGUCUCGUCUAAGCCACUCCUGCAGUUAGGUCCUUGUUAUAGGAGCUAGAACCUGUAUCCUAAUACAUAUCCUAACUUUACAACAUAAUCCCUCAUUCAUAAAUAUAUUGGAUAACCAAAAUCACCAAACAUUGGAAGCAAACCAAUAGAAUGAAAGAGAAGGCCUAAAAUGGAAAAAAGAAAAAAAAAAGGAAGAGCUUAUUUCAAAGGAAACAGUUUGAAUAUAAGAAAGCCCAAAACUAAAUUAUCAGUAGUAUCCUUAACAGUAAGUAAGAGGUUCUUUCAUUCACCUCUGUAAGUGAAAUAACCUAUAAUAUCAGAGGAGCAGGUUGCUAUGAAGAUAGCACAAUUGGAGGAAAGGAAAUACUUGCUGAAAUUGUAAAAUAUCAUUAUGGAAAAAACUUCAGUGGAAAAACUGAAUAACACAAUGGAUAUGCAUGAAGACCAGAUUGGUCAUUUCAAUGUUAAAACCAAGAAAACCUCCCAGAAAGCAGAGCAAAGUCUCAAGAAGAAAACAUUAAGACCCAUGGAGGAUAGAUCCAGAGGUUCAGUAUCCAUCAACUAGGAGAUCUAGAACUAGAAGCCACAGACAGUCAGGGGGUGGGUAGAAAUAGUGAAAGAUAUAGCCAAAGAAAUUUCCUCUCAGUUGAGAAAUACACACGGCCAGGCUUGGUGGCUCACACCUAUAAUCCAGCACUUUGAGAGGCUGAGGUGGGAGGAUUGCCUAAGCCCAGGAGUUCAAGACCACACUGAGCAAUAUGGUGAGACCCCAUUUCAAUUUAAAAAUAAAAAUAAAAAAAAAAGAAACACACACAGAUUUUAAACUAGAAAGAUCAUACUGACUUUAGGGCAGGAAUUAGUAAAAUGAGCAUGCAGACCCAUCUUGGUGAAAUUUCAGAACAUCAAGGAUAAAAAACAAAAAACUUCCAGAGAGACUCAAAAAUUACCUCAGAAUUUCUCACCAGUCAUGCAAGAUGCUCCAGUACAGUGGAGUACUUUCACAAUUCUGGAGGAUAAACUAAGAGUCAUCCUGUCAAACUUUGAAAAAAAUAGUUUUUUAAAUGUGUAAGAUUCAGAAAGUUUGUCACUCA
RNAcentral lists this long non-coding RNA (6947 nucleotides) under Homo sapiens (human). RNAcentral describes it as "HSALNT0291751". The record is from RNAcentral. Lineage: Eukaryota; Metazoa; Chordata; Mammalia; Primates; Hominidae.